RNAcentral lists this ribosomal RNA (380 nucleotides) under uncultured bacterium. RNAcentral describes it as "bacterial SSU rRNA". It matches the Rfam family "Bacterial small subunit ribosomal RNA", at positions 28 to 412 of the family's 1533-position model. The record is from RNAcentral.
GACGAACGCUGGCGGCGUGCUUAACACAUGCAAGUCGAACGGUAAGGCCCUUCGGGGUACGACGAGUGGCGAACGGGUGAGUAACACGUGGGUGGAUCUGCCUGCACUUCGGGAUAAGCCUGGGAAACUGGGUCUAAUACCGGAUAGGACUCCUGGCUUCAUGGUUGGGGUGUAAAGCUUUGCGGUGUGGGAUGGGCCCGCGGCCUAUCAGCUUGUUGGUGGGGGUAAUGGCCUACCAAGGCGACGACGGGUAGCCGGCCUGAGAGGGUGACCGGCCACACUGGGACUGAGAUACGGCCCAGACUCCUACGGGAGGCAGCAGUGGGGAAUAUUGCACAAUGGGCGCAAGCCUGAUGCAGCGACGCCGCGUGAGGGAUGAC